UGGGGAAUUUUGGACAAUGGGCGAAAGCCUGAUCCAGCAAUGCCACGUGAGUGAAGAAGGCCUUCGGGUUGUAAAGCUCUUUUGUCAGGGAAGAAACGGUGAGAGCUAAUAUCUUUUGCUAAUGACGGUACCUGAAGAAUAAGCACCGGCUAACUACGUGCCAGCAGCCGCGGUAAUACGUAGGGUGCAAGCGUUAAUCGGAAUUACUGGGCGUAAAGCGUGCGCAGGCGGUUUUGUAAGUCUGAUGUGAAAUCCCCGGGCUCAACCUGGGAAUUGCAUUGGAGACUGCAAGGCUAGAAUCUGGCAGAGGGGGGUAGAAUUCCACGUGUAGCAGUGAAAUGCGUAGAUAUGUGGAGGAACACCGAUGGCGAAGGCAGCCCCCUGGGUCAAGAUUGACGCUCAUGCACGAAAGCGUGGGGAGCAAACAGGAUUAGAUACCCUGGUAGUCCACGCCCUAAACGAUGUCUACUAGUUGUCGGGUCUUAAUUGACUUGGUAACGCAGCUAACGCGUGAAGUAGACCGCCUGGGGAGUACGGUCGCAAGAUUAAAACUUAAAUGAAUUGNCGGGGUCAUAGCUGUUUCCUG
RNAcentral lists this ribosomal RNA (586 nucleotides) under uncultured bacterium. Its description in RNAcentral is "partial 16S ribosomal RNA". It matches the Rfam family "Bacterial small subunit ribosomal RNA", at positions 355 to 1376 of the family's 1533-position model. The record is from RNAcentral.